Molecule: long non-coding RNA, 2137 nt
Organism: Cynara cardunculus var. scolymus (artichoke)
Lineage: Eukaryota; Viridiplantae; Streptophyta; Magnoliopsida; Asterales; Asteraceae
Exons: 5
Source: RefSeq, a predicted model, not a curated record
ACCGUUCCCUACUACUCUUCUUAUCACCGACUUUCUUCCUUCCGUUUCACUAAAGAGGAGUUGAAGAAGGAAAUUACAUAAUCAAAGCAAGCAUAGCUCCAGGGAUUACUCAUAUUUCGGCAAGGAUGUGAAGAGGAAAGAGAGGAAUGGUAACAAUGAUGAUGACGAGAAUGGAUUUGCAAAAAAUGUCGAUAGAGCGAUUCAGAUUUUGCAAACCCUGAGGAGAGAUUUGAAGAAAGGAGGAAAACAGCGAGUGGUCUUCUUCCAUUGAAACAACGACUGCUCGUUUUUGUCCUCAAGAAUUUUAAGAGGUACAAGUUCUUUUGCUCUGUGUACGUGCUUGAAAGAGUAAUACUUAAAAUUUUAGAAUGGAGAUUUCCCCACUAGUGAAACAAAAUCCGUCAUCGUAUUCAUAUCGCAACGGCGGAGUUUAACACUACCAACACCUUUCUUAACAUCAAGUUCAACAUGAAACCUUCAUCAUCAUCAUCAAUUCAACACCUUUAUAGUCUUUUUGUUUUCAUUCUCUGUUGACUUACUUCAGUCGUUUUUCCAAGGAUACCUAAUUUGAUAAUCUAUCUUAAGGGCAGUUGCUUCUUGUAAACUGAAUGAUGCUGUUAUAUAUAAUGGAUUGGCAACUGAAAGUGGUGAAUGUGCUCAAACAAAAGUGAAGAAGGGGUCUUUUCUAGAACAACUUUCAGUUUGAGUUCGUGAUUCAUCUCAAUUAAACUGCUCAAAGAGGUUGAGAUAUGCAGAUGUUGUAGGACAAUGUUGCCCAGUUUCAUCAAAGACAAUGUUAUAUUCUUCAGUUACAUGUAAGAGGAGAUGUAUUUCUUCCAUACUAUGCGUUCUUCCGAACUGGAAGAGAUUUCUGUCACAAAUGAGGAGAAUGAUGGCUCAAAUAUAAGAGAAGUGUAUCUGCCCUGUACAGUUAGCUUCUGUUGGUGUCUCGAUAUCAAUCUUCAACAUUGUUUCUAAGCUCUUUAACAUUCCUUUCCUUAGUGUUGCUACUUCUUUUGUGGCCGAGGAUAUUCCAAAGAACUCCAGUAGAAGUUCCAGCCAAGGUGGAGCAAAAGUACCUUCUUAAUGAUUUGAAAUAAAAAAUUACUUCAUAAUAUUGAAUUUUACCUUGUGUUCAACGGCAUAGAGGAGAACAAAUGGCAAUGACAAUGACAAAGCUUUCGUUGACAUAGCAGAAAGGAAACAGCUAGCUUCCGUCUCUACAACUUUGCUUUUGGCUGUUGUCAUUGGUAUCUUUGAAGGUUUGGCUUUAUGUUUUGGAUCAAAAGUGUUUCUUAAGCUGAUGGGUAUAUCAUCGGUAAGCUUUAUAUCAGCAGAAGUUCAACUUCGAUUUUUGUGAUCCAGCUGACUUGUUUCAAUUUCAAAUCGAUGAUCAUUUUCCACAACUUUAUGUAACUGCAUUGAUCAUUAUAACUGCCAGCAACAAGUCUUCCUUUCUUCAUUCAUAGUGUUUUAUCCAUUUCUCUUUAAUCGACAUCAUAAUUUUGGUCAUGCUUAUAACUUUUUUUUACCAUAGAAGGGUAGAUGGCCGGAGAAGAAGAAGACGCAGCGAUAAGUGGAACGAACUUUACGAUCAACAUGCUUACUUUUUUCACCUGGGAUUUACAGAAACAAUUUUCCGAACUGUUUGAAGGCUGUCAGUGUUAUGGUGCUCUAACAUCUAUUGCAGAUUUUCGUUUGAUUUAGAACCUUAAGGAGCCAUCGUCUGUAUAGGGAUAAUGGAGACGAAGAUGGCAAUAGUACACAAAUGAUGUAUGUGAAUGCACGACUACUGAAAGUAUUGUACGUUGUUGUGGAAUUGACAUACUGCAAGAUAUGUUGCCAAAGAAGAUAGCGAAGUGGGCGUCAUUGCCUGUAUGCAUAAUGCGUGAUCAUGGAUUUUUUGGUUUGUGGCUAUUUCACUAUUGAUAUGUUUGUAGGUAGCUUGGUUGUUUAUAAAGGAAACCGUAUCCCCUAUUUUACUGUGCAUAUUCCGUGGCUAUCGCUUCUUGUUUAUUAGCCAAUGUUUGUUGUAGUCUACCUUUUUUGUUUCUUUUAUUUUAGGUAGGUCUUGUUGUAAUUCUGGUUUAUAAAUUUGGCUUUGAUGAAUGAAUGAAAUAAGCUUUUCCACUUAUAU